CCCAAUGUGAACCAUACCAAACUGUUGCCUCGGCGGGGUCACGCCCCGGGUGCGUCGCAGCCCCGGAACCAGGCGCCCGCCGGAGGGACCAACCAAACUCUUUUCUGUAGUCCCCUCGCGGACGUUAUUUCUUACAGCUCUGAGCAAAAAUUCAAAAUGAAUCAAAACUUUCAACAACGGAUCUCUUGGUUCUGGCAUCGAUGAAGAACGCAGCGAAAUGCGAUAAGUAAUGUGAAUUGCAGAAUUCAGUGAAUCAUCGAAUCUUUGAACGCACAUUGCGCCCGCCAGUAUUCUGGCGGGCAUGCCUGUCCGAGCGUCAUUUCAACCCUCGAACCCCUCCGGGGGGUCGGCGUUGGGGAUCGGGAACCCCUAAGACGGGAUCCCGGCCCCGAAAUACAGUGGCGGUCUCGCCGCAGCCUCUCCUGCGCAGUAGUUUGCACAACUCGCACCGGGAGCGCGGCGCGUCCACGUCCGUAAAACACCCAACUUCUGAAAUGUUGACCUCGGA
Molecule: unclassified non-coding RNA, 508 nt
Filed under: Trichoderma gamsii
Lineage: Eukaryota; Fungi; Ascomycota; Sordariomycetes; Hypocreales; Hypocreaceae
Description: sequence contains ITS1, 5.8S rRNA gene, ITS2
Rfam family: 5.8S ribosomal RNA (bases 166-319)
Source: RNAcentral